UCAAGACAAAGGUAAACCAUUCGAGAGAAUGGGGCACAAAGCCAUCGGGUCCCAAAACGGACAGCACGUCUGAACCAGGAUCGCCAGGCCGCCUAA
Molecule: non-coding RNA, 96 nt
Filed under: Candidatus Omnitrophota bacterium
Lineage: Bacteria; Pseudomonadati; Candidatus Omnitrophota
Description: Omnitrophica WOR c-di-GMP sequence
Rfam family: c-di-GMP-I riboswitch aptamer
About the family: GEMM was predicted in a large-scale screen for bacterial structured RNA regulatory elements.
Source: RNAcentral